GACAGAGGGUGCAAACGUUGUUCGGAAUUACUGGGCGUAAAGCGUGCGCAGGCGGUUUUGUAAGCCAGGUGUGAAAUCCCCGGGCUUAACCUGGGAAUGGCAUUUGGGACUGCAAGGCUUGAGUGCGGCAGAGGAGACUGGAAUUCCUGGUGUAGCAGUGAAAUGCGUAGAUAUCAGGAGGAACACCGAUGGCGAAGGCAGGUCUCUGGGCUGACACUGACGCUCAUGCACGAAAGCGUGGGGAGCAAACAGG
RNAcentral lists this ribosomal RNA (253 nucleotides) under uncultured bacterium. RNAcentral describes it as "partial 16S ribosomal RNA". It matches the Rfam family "Bacterial small subunit ribosomal RNA", at positions 524 to 776 of the family's 1533-position model. The record is from RNAcentral.